Molecule: non-coding RNA, 108 nt
Organism: Chelonoidis abingdonii (Abingdon island giant tortoise)
Lineage: Eukaryota; Metazoa; Chordata; Testudines; Testudinidae
Source: RefSeq, a predicted model, not a curated record
AAAAUGAUCUGGACAAACUGGAGAAAUGGUCUGAAGUAAAUAGGAUAAAAUUAAUAAAGACAAAUGCAAAGUGCUCCAUUUAGGAAGGAACAAUCAGUUUCAUACAUA